UACGUAGGUGGCAAGCGUUGUCCGGAUUUAUUGGGUUUAAAGGGUGCGUAGGCGGCCCUGUAAGUCAGUUGUGAAAUACGGCAGCUUAACUGUCGAGGUGCAAUUGAUACUGCAGGGCUUGAGUACUGAUGAGGUAGGCGGAAUGGACGGUGUAGCGGUGAAAUGCUUAGAGAUCGUCCAGAACACCGAUAGCGAAGGCAGCUUACUAAGGAGCAACUGACGCUGAGGCACGAAAGUGUGGGGAUCAAACAGG
This 253-nucleotide ribosomal RNA is filed under the name uncultured bacterium. RNAcentral's name for it is "partial 16S ribosomal RNA". It matches the Rfam family "Bacterial small subunit ribosomal RNA", at positions 524 to 776 of the family's 1533-position model. The record is from RNAcentral.